GGUUAAGCGAACAAGCGUACACGGUGGAUGCCCUGGCAGUCAGAGGCGAUGAAGGACGUGCUAAUCUGCGAAAAGCGCCGGUAAGGUGAUAUGAACCGUUAUAACCGGCGAUGUCCGAAUGGGGAAACCCGGUGCACUUCGGUGCAUCAUCGUUAGCUGAAUACAUAGGCUAACGAAGCGAACCGGGGGAACUGAAACAUCUAAGUACCCCGAGGAAAAGAAAUCAACCGAGAUUCCCCCAGUAGCGGCGAGCGAACGGGGAACAGCCCAGAGCCUGAAUCAGCUUGUGUGUCAGUGGAACGGUCUGGAAAGGCCGGCGAUACAGGGUGACAGCCCCGUACACGAAGGCACACAGGCUGUGAGCUCGAUGAGUAGGGCGGGACACGUGAUAUCCUGUCUGAAGAUGGGGGGACCAUCCUCCAAGGCUAAAUACUCCUGACUGACCGAUAGUGAACCAGUACCGUGAGGGAAAGGCGAAAAGAACCCCGGCGAGGGGAGUGAAACAGAACCUGAAACCGUGUACGUACAAGCAGUGGGAGCCUUCGUAAGAGGGUGACUGCGUACCUUUUGUAUAAUGGGUCAGCGACUUAUAUUCUGUAGCAAGGUUAACCGUAUAGGGGAGCCGAAGGGAAACCGAGUCUUAAUUGGGCGUUAAGUUGCAGGGUAUAGACCCGAAACCCGGUGAUCUAGCCAUGGGCAGGUUGAAGGUUGGGUAACACUAACUGGAGGACCGAACCGACUAAUGUUGAAAAAUUAGCGGAUGACCUGUGGCUGGGGGUGAAAGGCCAAUCAAACCGGGAGAUAGCUGGUUCUCCCCGAAAGCUAUUUAGGUAGCGCCUCGUGAACUCAUCUCCGGGGGUAGAGCACUGUUUCGGCUAGGGGGCCAUCCCGGCUUACCAACCCGAUGCAAACUGCGAAUACCGGAGAAUGUUAUCACGGGAGACACACGGCGGGUGCUAACGUCCGUCGUGAAGAGGGAAACAACCCAGACCGCCAGCUAAGGUCCCAAAGUCAUGGUUAAGUGGGAAACGAUGUGGGAAGGCCCAGACAGCCAGGAUGUUGGCUUAGAAGCAGCCAUCAUUUAAAGAAAGCGUAAUAGCUCACUGGUCGAGUCGGCCUGCGCGGAAGAUGUAACGGGGCUAAACCAUGCACCGAAGCUGCGGCAGCGACACUGUGUGUUGUUGGGUAGGGGAGCGUUCUGUAAGCCUGCGAAGGUGUGCUGUGAGGCAUGCUGGAGGUAUCAGAAGUGCGAAUGCUGACAUAAGUAACGAUAAAGCGGGUGAAAAGCCCGCUCGCCGGAAGACCAAGGGUUCCUGUCCAACGUUAAUCGGGGCAGGGUGAGUCGACCCCUAAGGCGAGGCCGAAAGGCGUAGUCGAUGGGAAACAGGUUAAUAUUCCUGUACUUGGUGUUACUGCGAAGGGGGGACGGAGAAGGCUAUGUCGGCCGGGCGACGGUUGUCCCGGUUUAAGCGUGUAGGCUGACUUUCCAGGCAAAUCCGGAAAGUUAAGGCUGAGGCGUGAUGACGAGGCACCACGGUGCUGAAGUGACAAAUGCCCUGCUUCCAGGAAAAGCCUCUAAGCAUCAGGUAACAUCAAAUCGUACCCCAAACCGACACAGGUGGUCAGGUAGAGAAUACCAAGGCGCUUGAGAGAACUCGGGUGAAGGAACUAGGCAAAAUGGUGCCGUAACUUCGGGAGAAGGCACGCUGACAUGUAGGUGAAGCCCCUGCGGGUGGAGCUGAAGUCAGUCGAAGAUACCAGCUGGCUGCAACUGUUUAUUAAAAACACAGCACUGUGCAAACACGAAAGUGGACGUAUACGGUGUGACGCCUGCCCGGUGCCGGAAGGUUAAUUGAUGGGGUUAUCGCAAGAGAAGCUCCUGAUCGAAGCCCCGGUAAACGGCGGCCGUAACUAUAACGGUCCUAAGGUAGCGAAAUUCCUUGUCGGGUAAGUUCCGACCUGCACGAAUGGCGUAAUGAUGGCCAGGCUGUCUCCACCCGAGACUCAGUGAAAUUGAACUCGCUGUGAAGAUGCAGUGUACCCGCGGCAAGACGGAAAGACCCCGUGAACCUUUACUACAGCUUGACACUGAACAUUGAGCCUUGAUGUGUAGGAUAGGUGGGAGGCUUUGAAGCGUGGACGCCAGUCUGCGUGGAGCCGACCUUGAAAUACCACCCUUUAAUGUUUGAUGUUCUAACCUGGCGCCGUGAUCCGGCGUGGGGACAGUGUCUGGUGGGUAGUUUGACUGGGGCGGUCUCCUCCCAAAGUGUAACGGAGGAGCACGAAGGUCAGCUAAUCCUGGUCGGACAUCAGGAGGUUAGUGCAAUGGCAUAAGCUGGCUUGACUGCGAGAGUGACGGCUCGAGCAGGUGCGAAAGCAGGUCAUAGUGAUCCGGUGGUUCUGUAUGGAAGGGCCAUCGCUCAACGGAUAAAAGGUACUCCGGGGAUAACAGGCUGAUACCGCCCAAGAGUUCAUAUCGACGGCGGUGUUUGGCACCUCGAUGUCGGCUCAUCACAUCCUGGGGCUGAAGUAGGUCCCAAGGGUAUGGCUGUUCGCCAUUUAAAGUGGUACGCGAGCUGGGUUUAGAACGUCGUGAGACAGUUCGGUCCCUAUCUGCCGUGGGCGCUGGAGAAUUGAGGGGGGCUGCUCCCAGUACGAGAGGACCGGAGUGGACGCAUCACUGGUGUUCGGGUUGUCAUGCCAAUGGCACUGCCCGGUAGCUAAAUGCGGAAGAGAUAAGUGCUGAAAGCAUCUAAGCACGAAACUUGCCCCGAGAUGAGUUCUCCCUGAGACUGUAAGUCUCCUGAAGGAACGUUGAAGACGACGACGUUGAUAGGCCGGGUGUGUAAGCGCAGCGAUGCGUUGAGCUAACCGGUACUAAUGAACCGUGAGGCUUAACCUU
Molecule: ribosomal RNA, 2902 nt
Filed under: Cronobacter sakazakii
Lineage: Bacteria; Pseudomonadati; Pseudomonadota; Gammaproteobacteria; Enterobacterales; Enterobacteriaceae
Also listed under: 1 other name
Description: 23S ribosomal RNA
Rfam family: Bacterial large subunit ribosomal RNA
Source: RNAcentral